RNAcentral lists this ribosomal RNA (432 nucleotides) under uncultured bacterium. RNAcentral's name for it is "partial 16S ribosomal RNA". It matches the Rfam family "Bacterial small subunit ribosomal RNA", at positions 29 to 506 of the family's 1533-position model. The record is from RNAcentral.
AACGAACGCUGGCGGCAUGCCUAACACAUGCAAGUCGAACGAGACCUUCGGGUCUAGUGGCGCACGGGUGCGUAACGCGUGGGAACCUGCCCUUAGGUUCGGAAUAACUCCCCGAAAGGGGUGCUAAUACCGGAUAAUGUCUUCGGACCAAAGAUUUAUCGCCUUUGGAUGGGCCCGCGUUGGAUUAGCUAGUUGGUAGGGUAAAAGCCUACCAAGGCGACGAUCCAUAGCUGGUCUGAGAGGAUGAUCAGCCACACUGGGACUGAGACACGGCCCAGACUCCUACGGGAGGCAGCAGUGGGGAAUAUUGGACAAGGGGCGAAAGCCUGAUCCAGCAAGGCCGCGUGAGUGAUGAAGGCCUUAGGGUUGUAAAGCUCUUUUACCCGGGAUGAUAAUGACAGUACCGGGAGAAUAAGCUCCGGCGAACUCCGU